GUCAAAUUAAAAUGUCUUAUUACUUUUAAACUUUACAACCAAGCAUGCACAUUGUAGAGAAAAACUAUUCUAUAGAUAUACUACAACGUGUCUAUUACUUAAUAAUCGUUUGAUGUAGAUUUAGAAAUUUGUAUGCAUUGAAUACGAAUUCAAAUUUUCUUAUAGAUUCUCUUUUAAACAUCAAACAACGUAAACGGACAACUACACUGAUGGGGAUUAAAGCUCGUCCUUGUGAUCCUCAACUACUUUUAGAUCCCCUUUUGGCUUAGCCACAGGUAAUCCAUUCUCCAACCAAGCCAGAUGUCCUCCGCCUAGAUCUUUCAAAUGCUUGAAACCAUCAUUUUGGAGAUCAUCAAUAGCAAGCAAAGAUCUAACGCCGCUUCGACAACCCACGACGAGGCGAUCGUCUUUCUUAAAGACCGCCGAUACUUCCGCCAGAAACUGAGCAUUUUUCACCCUACCUGAAGAUUCCACCGCCGCGGCUUUCAGUCACUUGCCGGAAAAUUCGAACGUAACAAGAAAGAAAUAUCGAAACGGUUAUAGAAAAAAUAAUUAACCAUUUGGAGAAUUUAACAGAUACGGAAUAUUAACGAUCUUCUCCGUCGCCACAUGCCCGUCCUUGAACUCCUCAACAGUCCUGACGUCGAGAAAAGCGUAGCCGGAAUGGAGGAGGUUCUCGGCGGUUUUGACGUCGACGGUGACGAUUCCGGCAUCGGAACUACGGAAAACGAAAAAACAGAUAAGAAGGAGAAUCGAAUUAGCAUUCAUUGGAAAAAAG
This 778-nucleotide unclassified non-coding RNA is filed under the name Hevea brasiliensis (rubber tree). Lineage: Eukaryota; Viridiplantae; Streptophyta; Magnoliopsida; Malpighiales; Euphorbiaceae. The record is from RNAcentral.